GCUUAGGUCACACAACCCUGAGAACGCCAGAAAUUCAUCUGUUCUCGGUAGCUAAGCAGGGUUUGGCCUGGUUAGUAUUGGAUGGGAGAACCAAACCUGGGAGUACCAGGUGCUGUAAGCG
Molecule: ribosomal RNA, 121 nt
Organism: Astyanax mexicanus (Mexican tetra)
Lineage: Eukaryota; Metazoa; Chordata; Actinopteri; Characiformes; Acestrorhamphidae
Source: Ensembl